Molecule: ribosomal RNA, 1070 nt
Filed under: Escherichia coli
Lineage: Bacteria; Pseudomonadati; Pseudomonadota; Gammaproteobacteria; Enterobacterales; Enterobacteriaceae
Description: partial 23S ribosomal RNA
Rfam family: Bacterial large subunit ribosomal RNA
Source: RNAcentral
AAGGUGAUAUGAACCGUUAUAACCGGCGAUUUCCGAAUGGGGAAACCCAGUGUGUUUCGACACACUAUCAUUAACUGAAUCCAUAGGUUAAUGAGGCGAACCGGGGGAACUGAAACAUCUAAGUACCCCGAGGAAAAGAAAUCAACCGAGAUUCCCCCAGUAGCGGCGAGCGAACGGGGAGCAGCCCAGAGCCUGAAUCAGUGUGUGUGUUAGUGGAAGCGUCUGGAAAGGCGCGCGAUACAGGGUGACAGCCCCGUACACAAAAAUGCACAUGCUGUGAGCUCGAUGAGUAGGGCGGGACACGUGGUAUCCUGUCUGAAUAUGGGGGGACCAUCCUCCAAGGCUAAAUACUCCUGACUGACCGAUAGUGAACCAGUACCGUGAGGGAAAGGCGAAAAGAACCCCGGCGAGGGGAGUGAAAAAGAACCUGAAACCGUGUACGUACAAGCAGUGGGAGCACGCUUCGGCGUGUGACUGCGUACCUUUUGUAUAAUGGGUCAGCGACUUAUAUUCUGUAGCAAGGUUAACCGAAUAGGGGAGCCGAAGGGAAACCGAGUCUUAACUGGGCGUUAAGUUGCAGGGUAUAGACCCGAAACCCGGUGAUCUAGCCAUGGGCAGGUUGAAGGUUGGGUAACACUAACUGGAGGACCGAACCGACUAAUGUUGAAAAAUUAGCGGAUGACUUGUGGCUGGGGGUGAAAGGCCAAUCAAACCGGGAGAUAGCUGGUUCUCCCCGAAAGCUAUUUAGGUAGCGCCUCGUGAAUUCAUCUCCGGGGGUAGAGCACUGUUUCGGCAAGGGGGUCAUCCCGACUUACCAACCCGAUGCAAACUGCGAAUACCGGAGAAUGUUAUCACGGGAGACACACGGCGGGUGCUAACGUCCGUCGUGAAGAGGGAAACAACCCAGACCGCCAGCUAAGGUCCCAAAGUCAUGGUUAAGUGGGAAACGAUGUGGGAAGGCCCAGACAGCCAGGAUGUUGGCUUAGAAGCAGCCAUCAUUUAAAGAAAGCGUAAUAGCUCACUGGUCGAGUCGGCCUGCGCGGAAGAUGUAACGGGGCUAAACCAUGCAC